RNAcentral lists this ribosomal RNA (249 nucleotides) under uncultured Clostridia bacterium. Its description in RNAcentral is "partial 16S ribosomal RNA". It matches the Rfam family "Bacterial small subunit ribosomal RNA", at positions 355 to 621 of the family's 1533-position model. The record is from RNAcentral. Lineage: Bacteria; Bacillati; Bacillota; Clostridia.
UAGGGAAUUUUCCGCAAUGGGCGAAAGCCUGACGGAGCAACGCCGCGUGAGGGAUGAAGGUCUUCGGAUCGUAAACCUUUGUCUAGAGGGACGAUAAUGACGGUACCUCUGGAGGAAGCCACGGCUAACUACGUGCCAGCAGCCGCGGUAAUACGUAGGUGGCGAGCGUUGUCCGGAAUUACUGGGCGUAAAGGGCGUGUAGGCGGCCUUUUAAGUCAGACGUGAAAACCCUGGGCUUACCCCAGGACC